This 253-nucleotide ribosomal RNA is filed under the name uncultured bacterium. RNAcentral's name for it is "partial 16S ribosomal RNA". It matches the Rfam family "Bacterial small subunit ribosomal RNA", at positions 524 to 776 of the family's 1533-position model. The record is from RNAcentral.
UACGGGGGGGGCAAGCGUUGUUCGGAAUUACUGGGCGUAAAGGGCGCGUAGGCGGUUCGAUAAGUCAGCUGUGAAAACCAUGGGCUUAACUCAUGGCCUGCAGUUGAGACUGUCGGGCUGGAGUGUGGGAGAGGAGAGUGGAAUUCCUGGUGUAGCGGUGAAAUGCGUAGAUAUCGGGAGGAAUACCGAUGGCGAAGGCAGGUCUCUGGGCUGACACUGACGCUCAUGCACGAAAGCGUGGGGAGCAAACAGG